UACGAAGGGGGGCUAGCGUUGCUCGGAAUUACUGGGCGUAAAGCGCACGUAGGCGGCUUUCUAAGUCGGGGGUGAAAUCCUGGAGCUCAACUCCAGAACUGCCUUCGAUACUGGAGAGCUCGAGUCCGGGAGAGGUGAGUGGAAUUGCGAGUGUAGAGGUGAAAUUCGUAGGAUAUUCGCAAGAACACCAGUGGCGAAGGCAGCCCCCCUGGGCUAACACUGACGCUCAGGGCACGAAAGCGUGGGGAGCAAACAGG
RNAcentral lists this ribosomal RNA (257 nucleotides) under uncultured bacterium. RNAcentral describes it as "partial 16S ribosomal RNA". It matches the Rfam family "Bacterial small subunit ribosomal RNA", at positions 524 to 776 of the family's 1533-position model. The record is from RNAcentral.